Molecule: ribosomal RNA, 253 nt
Filed under: uncultured bacterium
Lineage: Bacteria
Description: partial 16S ribosomal RNA
Rfam family: Bacterial small subunit ribosomal RNA
Source: RNAcentral
UACGUAGGGGGCAAGCGUUGUCCGGAAUCAUUGGGCGUAAAGCGCGCGUAGGCGGCCCGGUAAGUCCGUUGUGAAAGUCAAAGGCUCAACCUUUGAACGCCGAUGGAUACUGCCGGGCUAGAGUCCGGAAGAGGCGAGUGGAACUCCUGGUGUAGCGGUGGAAUGCGCAGAUAUCAGGAAGAACACCAACGGCGAAGGCAGCUCGCUGGGACGGUACUGACGCUGAGACGCGAAAGCGUGGGGAGCGAACAGG